Oreochromis aureus is the source of this 401-nucleotide long non-coding RNA. Lineage: Eukaryota; Metazoa; Chordata; Actinopteri; Cichliformes; Cichlidae. The record is from Ensembl.
AAAGCUGGAGAUCAUCCUGACAUGACAAGAUCUGAGGUCACUGAAAAUCCCAGAGAUGUGGCAAAAAACACAGCAAUCAAACAGCAAAAUGUUAAGAAACAACCUGAAGAGAAACUGCGUCCUUCCUGUGAAGCUCUGCCCGUGUCAGAUGAGUGUGAACAUAAAGAUGUCCCCUGCUCUGGCCACAGUGUAGCUGAAGUACAAUCCAUGAUGCCAGAGAUGAGAGCCGCUGAGGAUCAUGCUUCUUGGAAAAUGUGGUGCAGGCAAGAGCUUGAGUGGGAACACCAUCCUCAAUAAAACGGUGUUCAGGUCAGAGAUGAAGCUGGGCAGCGUCACUGUUCACUGUGAAAAAGAGUCCCGCGUGGUUGGAGAUAUACCCGUCGAUGUGAUUGACACACCUG